RNAcentral lists this ribosomal RNA (468 nucleotides) under uncultured bacterium. RNAcentral's name for it is "partial 16S ribosomal RNA". It matches the Rfam family "Bacterial small subunit ribosomal RNA", at positions 28 to 507 of the family's 1533-position model. The record is from RNAcentral.
GACGAACGCUGGCGGCGUGCUUAACACAUGCAAGUCGAACGGAAAGGCCCUGCUUUUGUGGGGUGCUCGAGUGGCGAACGGGUGAGUAACACGUGAGUAACCUGCCCUUGACUUUGGGAUAACUUCAGGAAACUGGGGCUAAUACCGGAUAGGAGCUCCUGCUGCAUGGUGGGGGUUGGAAAGUUUCGGCGGUUGGGGAUGGACUCGCGGCUUAUCAGCUUGUUGGUGGGGUAGUGGCUUACCAAGGCUUUGACGGGUAGCCGACCUGAGAGGGUGACCGGCCACAUUGGGACUGAGAUGCGGCCCAGACUCCUACGGGAGGCAGCAGUGGGGAAUAUUGCCCAAUGGGCGGAAGCAUGAUGCAGCAACGCCGCGUGCGGGAUGACGGCAUUCGGGUUGUAAACCGCUUUCGCCUGUGACGAAGCGUGAGUGACGGUAAUGGGUAAAGAAGCACCGGCUAACUACGUG